UUUUAUGGAGAGUUUGAUCCUGGCUCAGAGUGAACGCUGGCGGCGUGCCUAAUACAUGCAAGUCGAACGAUGAAGCUUCUAGCUUGCUAGAAGUGGAUUAGUGGC
This 105-nucleotide ribosomal RNA is filed under the name Campylobacter jejuni. RNAcentral's name for it is "partial 16S ribosomal RNA". It matches the Rfam family "Bacterial small subunit ribosomal RNA", at positions 1 to 99 of the family's 1533-position model. The record is from RNAcentral. Lineage: Bacteria; Pseudomonadati; Campylobacterota; Epsilonproteobacteria; Campylobacterales; Campylobacteraceae.